This 5989-nucleotide long non-coding RNA is filed under the name Homo sapiens (human). Its description in RNAcentral is "HSALNT0093819". The record is from RNAcentral. Lineage: Eukaryota; Metazoa; Chordata; Mammalia; Primates; Hominidae.
UGCAUGGUAGGUGGUAAUAAAUUCUUAACAGUUUGUUGUUUGAUACUCAUGUUUGGCUUAUUGGAUCAUGGUGCCAGAGGCAAAAAUAAUUAGAAGGAGGAUAGUAUUUAGUAAAGCAAGACAAAAUUAAGUUUUAUUUAAAAAUUAUUAUUAUUAUGAUUGUGGUAAAAUACACAUAACAUAAAAUUUGCCAUCUUCACUAUUUUUAAUUGUGUAGUUCGGUGGUAUUAAAUAUGUUCACAUGUUAUGUAACCAUCAACAUCAUCAAUCUCCAUAAUGCUUUUCAUUUUGUAAAUCUGAAAUUCCAUACCCAUUAAGCAAUAACUCCCUAUUUACCCCACCCCCCAGACCCUGACAACCACAAUUCUAUUUUCUGUCUCUAUGGUUUAGACUACUUUAAGUACCUUUUAUAAGUGGAAUCAUGCAAUAUUUGUCUUUUUGUGACUGGUCAUUUUUCUUAGCAUAAAGUUGUCAACCUUUAUGACAACUUCUUCCAUAUUGUAGCAUAUGUAAGAAUUUCCUUCCUUUUUAAGGCUGAAUAAUCCAAAUUAAGUUUUGUAGCCUGAUAAAAUACUGACAGGUUGAACAUCAUAGAAAACCCUUUAUAAAAUCUGUAUUUAAAUAAAUAGUUUCCAUUCUAUAGAGUAUAAUGUUGCGCUUAUUAAAAGAGAAAUAAUGAUAAAAACAUGUAUUUGAUGUACAAACAUUCUGCUUAUGGCAUCUUGAAGAAUUUAGGACACAGUCACAUUCAGGAAUUACAGGCUAAUGAGCAUCUUCACCUCUUUUCAUUCACUCUGAAGAGGUUUCAUGAAAGUCAGAAGACUUUCAACAUUGGGAAUGUUGGAAUGAAAUGUGCUUUAGUAUUUUUAAUUUUUUUUAAAUAAAAUAAUCCAGGUGAGGUUAAUUAAUGCAUACACUCAGCCUAAUCAAAAGAAAUCUAUUGGGAUAAUGAGCAUUUUGGUGACUAUUGCAAAGAAAAAGGUGCUUAUUUCUAAGGCAGAAAGAAAAUAUAUUUUCAUAGUUAAUAUAUACAUUAAAAUUGUAUGUACUUGCAUAUUAGAUAUACACAGUGUUAAAGCUAUGGCUAAUAUAUCAUUUUGGAGAAAAAUCUGAGUAAAAAUUAACUCUUGUAAAGAGUUACUGGUGUCAGAUGGCAGAGUCCCAAAUGAGUGGAUUCGUUUAUCCCCACAAUGUAUCAGGUGAUCACCUCUCAUAAAAACUACUAUUAACCUAAAAAAUUAGGGUCAGUAAAAGCUUAGCUCUAAUUCACAAAUCUCAACAAGCUGAACUGUUAGACCCAGUGAGCUCAUUAGGAUAGAUUAAAGACCAAACAUAAUGACAUUACGAAAUAUGUGAUUUUAAUAUGUUUGAUCCUAUCAGAGCAAUCCUUUUAAUAACAUGAUUUUAUUGUGGAACCUUGUAUGUUUUCCUUAAAAACCAAAAAGACAAUCUAAAAAUUUAACCCAUUGUUGUUUCUUAGCUUGUAACCCCGUGAUACUUGAUUUAAUUUGGUAAAGCUGACUGAAGUGAUGCUAUUCUGGGACAUAAUGACAGCAAAGAUGACAUGAGCCAAUGCUGCAGCUGAAUUUCAAUUUUCAGUAAAAAAUCCUCACCCCACCUGCCACUGGAAUAGAAAUAAUAUCAAGGGCUAACUUCUAAUCUUGCACCCCUGUCAUACAUCAUACUCUGGAUUCCAACAGUCUACACCUAUUUUCUUUUAUAAUGGUCCUAACCCCAAACAAGCAACCUAGGGUUUGUAGCAACAAAAUCAGAUCCUUACAGUGAACAGGACUUUGCAAAGCACCUUCUUCAGAAUUAGUAAUAUUACUUACUUAAUAUGGGAAAAAACAUACAAAUCUUACCAUCAAUGGGCCAACUCAUAACCAACAAUUUAUAGCAUACAAGAACCUUCAUGGUAUCUUAUUCAACCUUUAACAUAAUUCUAUUUGUUAUCAUUAAUUCUAAAUCACAAAUGAGGAAACAGAGUCAGAAACAGCUGAUUUUUCACUGUGCUUGGGUUAGGUCCAACUCUGGAAUUAUCAUAUGCAAAUAAUGACAGAGAGAGGCUCUCAUAUAGUUGUAGAAUUGUAACAAGACAACAAGCAAUUCACAUAAGUCAUGGUUUCUCAGACAAUAAUCUUGUUUAGUAAUUAUUAGUCUUUAUCUGAAACACAUGGUUUGAUGGUAAAUUUUUUGAAUAGGCGAUAAUAAAAAAUAAUUCUCAAAAAGAACCCUCAAAGUCAACUGUGUGUAUUUCCUUCUUUCCUGGUGGGGAAAGUUUAUAAGGGUUGGGGCAAGUCCCUUCAGACCCAGGAAUUUGAUAAACACCAUCAGGGUUGUUGAGACCAACCUCACUGUGAGAGAGAAACAGAAUGAAUGAGAUGUUGAUAUAGGAAAGGAAGUAGCUGAAUUAAGAGUGUUUUCUUCUUUACUAACAGCCAGUCCACACGUUGAAAAGCAUUCAGUUACAAUUUUUAUCUAUAAAGAGUGGAACAUUCGCCCAAUGUCCCAGUACAAUAGGACCAUGAGAGUGAAGUUCCCUAAAGAACUCAACCAUUUCCAUGGAUAGAUGGCAGAGGAACACAGCUUUGCUGUCAGAAUGAUUUGUGACCAGGCCUAGAUGGGGACUGGGGGCAUCCUGGCAGGUUGAUAAUUUUAUUUUAAAACCAUAUUCUUUCAAUAUUUGUACAUUUAUAUCGAAGAGAGUCUGAGCUCUGUGUGGGAGCAAUGUGCAGUGGGAACUUCUGGGUCCCUCGGUGUCCCCUUUCAUGUCUUAGGCUAUUUGGCUCUACCAGGUGUGGAUAUUCCACUCAGCACGGCUGUGCCCACAGAGGCUGUGCCUCUGGCUUGCUCUUCUUGGAAGUCAGAUGCAAAUAUCGCCUUCUCGGGUCUUAGCCCCAUCUUAGUAUCCCAUCCUUUUCCCUAAGAAGAAACGUGGCAUAUACAAGUUCCUCCAUCUUGUGACAUUUCCACGAUUCUCUUAGCCCCUCUUACAGAACAGUUUCCCAAGCAGCAGCCUGCCUGAUCCACCCUUAAUUCAGCUGUGCGUCUGACAACAUGUUCUACAGGAAAGAUAACCUUGUACAUCAGGUGUUUCCUGUUUCCAGUACCAAAAGGUCAGUACUUGAUUACACAUGUAUUUACAAGGGUAGAGAAGGGAAAUGAUCAAAAGUUUUUACAACCAUAGUCCUUCAAUUAAGAAAGAAGUGGUCUUUAAUUUUCUCCAUUCUUUUUAAAAAUUCUCUUUCUACCUUUGUUUAAAUAUCUCUCCUAACUAGGAAAGACCUGUUGUACAUCAUACAAGGCAUACCAACCCACAUACUAGAACACAUAAGUAGGAGGAAUAGUGUUCUAGAAGAGAAUUACUAUUUGGAGAAAAAAAGGCAUAAUUUCCUUUUACAGUCAUGCAUUGCUUAAUGCCAGAGAUACGUCCUGAGAAAUGUGUGAUUAGGCAGUAUCAUCAUUGUGUGAACAUAAUAGAAUGUAUUUACACAAACCUAGGUGGUAUAACCCACUAUUCACCUAAGCAAUAUGGUACUGCUCCUAGGCUACAAACCUGUAUAGCAUGUUACUAUACUGGAUACUGUAAACAAUUGUAACCCAAUGGUAAGUAUUUACAUAUCUAAACAUAUCUGAGCAUUAAAAAGGUACAGUAAAAAUACAGUAUUCUAGUCUUACAGGAUUACCACUAUAUAUGCCCUUUGUCAUUGAUGGAACCAUCAUUAUGCUGUGCUUGCCUAUAUUUCAAAAUUCACUAUAAAAAGAUAGGUGAACCUCAGAUCCAUCUCCUAGAUGUAUGAUUUCUAGCUGCAUAUUAACCUCAGUCACAUUUUAAUAUUAUUCACACAAAAAUUAAAACACUCAGGUAUUUGUGAUGAAGUAAUUUUGCCUAAAUUUAUUUUAUUUCCAAAGAACCUGCAUCAAUUUGAUUCAGUAACAUUUAAAAUCAUUCAACAAAAAUCUUUCAAACUUUUAUGUUACAGUAAUAUUCAAACUCUUUUUUUGUGGCUCAAAUCUUUUUAUGAACUUCAAUUAUGUGAAAAUAUCCAAUUUUAUUUUUAAAUAAAGAUGUUUAGAAAUGUAUUGAUAUUUGUCAAAUCUAAGUUGCAGCUAUGUAAGUUUUUAUUAAGUCAUUCUCUGUGUAUACUUCUAAGUAUGUUGGACUUCUUACAUAAAAAAUUAAACGUUAUUGAGGAAAGAAAAGGGAGAAUAAGUUUCAAAAAGAAAUUUAUCUUUCUUUAGAUAUAUAUAAUCAUCACAAAAUAUUAUCAGAUAACAAAUCUUGAAUUUUACUUUAAAUGAAAACAUUUUUCAGAUCUGUCUUACUAAUUUUAUGUAAUUCCUUUUCACAUGUUUCGUGAGGCUGAUAAAAUGCUUCGUAAGCAGGUAUUCAUGUGGCUCUAUAACAAGUUAUUUUUAGGAAGCUUAUAUACAAAAAUACUUGCCACACUUUCUCUCACUCUCUGGACAGUCAGACAAGAAGGCUCACUUUCUCCAGGAAUCUCCUAGUGCCAGGUUCUGGGCUGUGGACACCAUGCUGGCCAGAGGAAGCUGCUGCACAGGUACAGAGGUGCAGAGGGUGGGGCUGCACUGAGAGGGCGGGGCGGGAUCAGAAGUAAUUUGACCAGUUAGGAAGCUACUGCAAUAGCAAUAUUGAUUAUUUACUAUGUGUCAGAUGCUGUGCCAUUGUGCUAGGUGCUGGGCAUAGGAGUGAAAAAGACACCAAAGUCCUCAGUUCCAGGGAAUUAAUUUUUCUAGUAAACAAACAAACCAAAAAACAAGGAAAGUCAUCAUUACUAUGGAGAAAACAACACUGGAUCUUGUCAUAGCGACUGAGGCCUCCACAGAAGUGUCUUCCUUUGGCUUUGGUAUCAAGGUAAUGCUGGCCUCAUAAGUUGUCUCCCUUUAUCCAUGAGGGACAUCUUCCAAGGCCCCCAGUGGAUGUCUGAAACCGCAGGUAGUACCAAAUCCUAUAUGCAUUAUGUUUUUUCCUAUACAUACAUACCUAUGAUAAAGUUUAUUAAUUAGUUACAGUAAGAGAUUGACAGCAAUAGCUAACAAUAAAGUAGAACAACUAUAACAAUAUGCCAUCAGCAUUACUCUUGGGGCUAUUAUUUAGUAAAAUAAAGGUUACCUGAACACAAGCACUGCGAUACUGAGACAGUAGAUCUGAUAACUGAGACAGCUACUAAGUCACCAUCGAAGAGCAUAUACAGCAUGGAUAUGCUGGACAAAGGGAUGAUAAACAUCUGGAUGGGAUGGUAUAAGAUUUCAUCAUGCUACUCAGAAUGGCAUGCAAUUUAAAACUUAUGAAUUAUUUAUUUCUGGAAUUUUUUAUUUAAGAUCUUUAGACUGUAGUUGACCAGAGGUAGCUGAAACCAUGGAAUUCAAAACCGUGGAUAAGGGGGUACUACUGCCCACACACAUUAAAGAACUCAAAGGUGGGUAGACAUGAUACUUAUGUAUAAGGAAACUGAGUGAAACUCAGAUACGAUUCAUAUCCAGUAUUCCACAGCCAGUAAGAGAUGGGUCUGGAAUUGACACUCAUGUUUUCUCAUUUCAUGUCUUUUUAGCAUACUUUUGUCCAUAAAGCAAAAUCCGAAGAUUAGUGUUAAGAAACAGGAUUUGGAACUCUCAGAACAAGGCCAUUGGGGGUGGAGAUUUCUUACCUAUGGCUUAAAGAGGUGGGUGACAGAAAUGGCUCAUUCAACCAUAGAUGGUUUAAAAUAGCAUUUCAAUGGUUAAUCAUCAGCAGAAUAGACAAUUCGAGAAACAUUCUAAAAGGAACUUUGUGGAUUGGGUUCUUUGACCAUUAUAGUAUUUCCUCUUCUAACAUUCCUUUCCCUUUCAUCUUUAUUUCCCACUUAGUUUGCUUUUCAGUUAAAGGCAGUCAGUGAAAGUGUCACUCAAUAUCAGAGCAGCACAUUGGAGUAGAAAAGCAACAUGGGCUUUGAAGAUGUAGGUGCUGUAUUUGAGUUUUCAGUGAUCU